GUCAAGACACGUUUACAUGUGUUAGUGCUGUGACUAAGUGUCUCUGUGCUGUCUUUAGUUUCCUUCAUGACUGUUUUUUUUUUGUAGCUACCAACAAAAAGCAGCCCGCGUUUGUAACUUCAUCAGAUUAGCGAUUUCCAAGUGACAUACGUUAUAUUUUUACUAUCGUGCUGCCUUAACACUUCAAUUUCCCCUAUGAGGACUUAAACAAAGUUUGUCUUAUCUUAUAUCCUAGCUUAACAUAAGACUUAAGCGUAAAUCAGUUGGUUAAAUUGUUUCUUGUGUCUUCACAACGCUGCCUCUCCGCACAGACUACUUCCGUGACAUAUUUUUAUAGGACACUUUAUUUUAGAUGUUUAAAAGAGAUUUGGCAUGUCAGUGCGUGUGUUCUGACGCACUGAAAUGACAGACAUAAAGUCUGAUUAUAAUGUAACUAUGAAUGUAUAGUGUAUAUUGUAAAUGCUUGCGUAUUUGGAGACUCGCUUGCGAUGCACACAGGUUAUUUCGAUGCUCAGAGUCUUCAUACAAAAUGCAGAUGCACAUUUGUUACAAAGCAAUGAGCACAAUUAUUAUUGCAGAGAUGUACAGAAUGUACUUAUGUAAGUUGGAUUUGCAAUUUGUACACUUACACAGACACAGCUGCUUCGAAAAUUGCAUUCAAACUACUAUGGACAAUGAGCAUUGUGUUUGUCUAAAAGAAAAGGCUGGUGUGAUGUGAUAUUCCAGUGAGCAACUUGCCCAGUAAGAUUCUUAAAACUGAAAGCGCAUACCUGCUGUCAGUCCUACCCCACAUAUAAAUGCUACGGGUUGCACUGCAAAGUGCUGCUGAUGACGGAGCAAGAGGUAGGUGUCAAACAGGAGGCAGAAGCGUUCGGCUUCGUCAUGGCGAACAUGGAGGAGCUCAAAUGGAAUGGGCAAAAGGGAAGGGACGGGAUCUGAAUAUUUUACCUGGAGAACCAAAUACUGUAGACCAGUCUAAAGAUCACUAGAACAGGAUGAAGAGUACAGCUUCAGCUAACCAAUUCUUCUGUGGCGCCAAUAAUGAAAAAGAGCAUGUGAAAGAGUAGGAGGAAGGAGUAGUUUCAAAUGAAAUUCAAGUUACACUACUUUCAGCAGUGCUGCGGAUCUGUGUCAUAAAUAUGAUUUGUUUUUAGUGUACCUUUGUACAAAUAUUUGGACAUUUACCAAAUUAUUGUUGUUUUAGCAGUCUAUUGCUGUCUAUAUUUUGGAGUUAAAUAAAGUUACAUAAGGAUAUGGAAAUGAAAUAACGAAUAUAUGGUCAAAGUGCAGACUCGGCUUUCAGCUUUAAUUUGAGAACAUUUACAGUCCCCUCCAAAACUAUUGGAACAGCAAGGCCAAUUCAUCUGUUUGUGCUGUAUACACCAAAGACAUAUGGGUUUGAGAUCAAAUGAUGGAUAUGAGACGAGAGUUUAGGAUUUCAGCUUUUACUUCCUGGUGUUUACAUCUAGACGUGUUAAACAACAUAAAACGUGAAACCUUUUGUAUCAGACCACCCAAUGUUUAGGUGAGCAAAAGUAUAGGAACAGUAAAUUGAACUAAAUAACACUUAAUAUUUGGUUGCAGAUCCCUUGUUUGCAAUAACUGCGUCAAGCCUGCACCUCAUUGAUAUAACCAAAUUGUUGGUUUAUAUUAUUUUGUGAUGCUUUUACUGCAUCCUCUUUCAGUUGUUGUUUGUUUCCUCUUCAGGAAGUGAAAUGCUGCUCAACUGGGUUAAAGGCUGGGUAACAGGAAUCACCUGUCAGUCGCGUGUUCCAAUAUUUUUUUCUCACCUGCAAAUUGGGUGGACUGAUACAAAAUGUGCUAUGUUCCAUGUUGUUCAACACAUCUGCAUGUAAAUACCAGGAAAUAAAAGAUUAUAUUUUAAAUGCUGUUCUCAUAUUCAUCUUUUGAACUCAAACCCAAAUGUCUUCAGUCUAUAACAAAAACAAAUGAACUGCUCAUGCCAUACCAAUAGUUUCAAAGCGGAGGGUACAUUCACAUUAUUCAAGCAUUUUUUCUAUGGGGUCUACCACUUUUUAGACUACCAAAUGUAAUUGGACAAUUGGGCUCUUAACUGUUCCAGCUGUGUGCUAUUCCCUCAUUAUUUCACUUCCAGGUAAGCAGAUUAAAAAGUCAAAAGUUGAGUUCAAGUGUGUCAUUUGCAUUUGGAAUCUGUUGCUGUUGACUCUCAAUAUGAAGAGUAGUAUCAACAAACCAUUCAGAGAGAUCGCAAAAGCAUUAGUUGUGGCCAAAUCAACUGUUUAGUACAUUCUUAAUUAGAAGGAAUGUGCUGGUGAGCUCAGGAACACCAAAAGGCCCGAAAGACCACAGUAAACAUCUUGUGUGGAUGACUGAAGAAUCCUUCCCCAAUGAAGAAAAAUCCCUCUCAAAAUAGUUGCCGAGAUCAAAAAACCCUCCAGGAGGUAUCUGUGUCAAGUCAACAAUCAAGGGAAGUCCUCACCAGAGUAAAUACAGAGGUUUUACCACAAGAUGUAUACCUCAAAAACAGGAAGACCAGAUUAAAGUUUGCCAAAAACAUCUUUAAAAGCCUGUGCAGUUCUGCAACAACAUCCUAUGGACAGAUGAGACAAAGAUCAACUUGAAGCAGAAUGAUGGGAAGAGAAGAGUAUGGAGAAAGGAUGUGGGGGGCUUCAAUCUUAUCCGCAAAGGACCGGUGUAGCUGAAGGCCUUCAUUCUAGCCAAACAGGAGGUACACUUCAUAGUCGAUUGGAACCCUUGGUGAACUGAUUAAACAAGUGGAAACAGGUGUGACUCCUGCCUGGUUGGAAUGAAAGCGUGCAGCCAAACUCGCCCUUUGUGGACAAGAUUGAAGACCCCUGACUUAUGGUGUGGGUGUGUAUGGCUGCCAAUGGAACUGGUUCCCUUGUGUUUAUGUUGGUUUAUGUGACUGCUGAGAAAAGCAGCAGGGUGAAUUGUGAAGUGUAUAGGGCUAUAUUAUCUGCUCAGAUUAAGCCAAAUGCUUCAAACUCAUUGGACGGCACUUCACACUGCAGACGGACAAUGAUACGACACAUACUUCAUAAGCAACCCAAGACUUUUUAAGGCAAAGAAGGGGAAUGUUCUGCAAUGGCCAAGUCAAUCACCUGACCUGAAUUCAUCUGAGCAUGCAUUUCACUUGCUGAAGGCGAAACCCAAAGCAAAAUGGCGAAUGAACAAGCAGGAAGUGAAGACAACUGCAGUAAAGGCCUGGCAGAAGUAUAUCCAGGUGUUUCGUAAUUUGUGAUUUAAACCCGACUGGACUUUCUUGAUGGAGGAAAAAAAGAAGACCUGCACAAAUGGUCCUCAGCCUGGCAGCGAGGAGCACCUAACAGUGCAAUGGAUAGCAACAUGUGCUGCAAAAAAAACAUGAGGGUGUUGUCAUAGUGAUGCGAGAGAACUGGAGGAGAACCAACUGUGCAGAAAAACCCUCGGUGCUCUGCAGUGCCAUCACUUCGUUUGUUUAAUCAUUCUCUAUGCUCACUAACAGCAGCUUGCUUACAAAUGGCCCGAUCGCAAAUUAUACACCAUGCAGUGUAAUCGCAUCUGUUUUACUUUUCUGUUAAGUAAAGCAGAGACCGUGAUCAUGUACAUCGUAUAACUUCGUUUAACUUAUGGACAGAGGAAUCUGCCAACAAGCUGCGGAUAUAAGCCUGCAAUAUGGAUCAGCAUCCAGCGGGCAGAGGAGGGCAGCUAUAUUUACAUAGUGCUUGGAGUGGGAGGACAGAACAUGAGUACCGCAGUGAUCGUCUCUUAAAGCAGGCUGGAUGACGGAUCGGGAAAACAAGAAAACGUUUCUCGUGUGCGUAAAAAAAAAAAAAAAGAGUCAGAACAUUCAUGCAACGGAUGGGAUGUUGUCUGCCUUGCUAAUUACAUCUGCUCACAAGGAAAUUUCUGUCCUGGUAUUAUAUUUAUUAACGCCUUCUUGAGAUAGCUUUAUGGGUUGGAAAUGUAUGCUGAAAGCCCUCUGAACCACUUUCCACAUUGCGCAUAAACUGUAGUGCAUACAAUUCUGAGCAGUGUUUGUAUACUAUUUUCUAUCAUACAGCACAUUCAAACAGUAUAGUCGUGCAAGCUGCAUAAGGAAUUAGUUUCUGGUAGUUAUUUAACAGCUCCACGCGUCCCCUAUAAUAACCCCAAGCCAUGACUCGGGGCUCUACUUUGUGUUCAUUAAGGCACUGAAGCAGAAGGUUACACACUGUGUGUAGGAUGUAGGGUGUAUCUCAGUUGUACUCCUGAGUACUCAAGCUUUGUUAUCUAACUGACAAUAGGAUCUAGGCAGUGAAUAAGAAUGCAAAUUCCGGUAGACACGGUGUGAGAGCUCAUAAUAUAAAAAUAUAUAAGGAACUCACUACAUGAUCCCUUGAAUUUCAUAUUUCAGUGGCGUGUUCCCAAUAUUUGUUCGACGAGACCAUUGACAGUGAUUUCGAUGUGUUUUAAAUCACCAAUACCAAACAGUGAAAAUUAUGUGUGUAUGUAUGUAUGUAUGUAUGUAUGUAUGUAUAAUCUCUUAAUGACUCCAAGCUGCAGAUAUAAGCGAUAUUUGCAUGCAUAUUUUCAGAUAUUUGCAUGCUGCUACAGAACAGAGUGAACAAUGAAAGAUCAGUCUCAGUGCCAUGUCUGUCACAAAUCAAAUAAAUGAGGUGCAAGAUAAGGCUGAGGAAAUGACAAGAAGCUCAGCAUCUCUGAGCUGUUAUGAAUAAAUCAUUAAACCAACAGGAUUGCUCUAUAGCCCCAGUGGUCAACAACCCUCUUCCUUGAGAUCUACAUUCCUGUAGGUUUCAUCUCCAGCCAAAAAUUUAACGCACCUGUUUUAGUUGAUCAAGAACUUCUUAAGGCAAUGAUUAGAUGGUCAGGUGGGCACGAUUAUGUUUGAAGUCUUCAGGAAGGUAGAUCUCUGGGAACACGGUUGGUGACCACUGGAUUAGAUGAUCAGGUGGGCACUAUUAUAGUUGUAGCUAACAUUUUCAUGAAGGUAGAUCUCUGGGAACAGGGCUGGUGACCACUGGAUUAGAUGGUAUGGUGGGCAUGA
This is a long non-coding RNA of Ictalurus punctatus (channel catfish), 5029 nucleotides long. RefSeq lists it as uncharacterized. The transcript has 2 exons. The record is from RefSeq and is a predicted model, not a curated record. Lineage: Eukaryota; Metazoa; Chordata; Actinopteri; Siluriformes; Ictaluridae.